AGUGAACGCUGGCGGUAGGCCUAACACAUGCAAGUCGAACGGCAGCACAGUAAGAGCUUGCUCUUACGGGUGGCGAGUGGCGGACGGGUGAGGAAUACAUCGGAAUCUACUUUUUCGUGGGGGAUAACGUAGGGAAACUUACGCUAAUACCGCAUACGACCUACGGGUGAAAGCAGGGGAUCUUCGGACCUUGCGCGAUUGAAUGAGCCGAUGUCGGAUUAGCUAGUUGGCGGGGUAAAGGCCCACCAAGGCGACGAUCCGUAGCUGGUCUGAGAGGAUGACCGCCAACACUGGAACUGAACCGCGCACCAGACCCCUAGGGGGGGACGCGGGGGGAAAUAUUGGAAAAGGGGCGCAAGCCGGCCCCACCCACCCCGGGGGGGUGAAAAGGGCCUUGGGUUUGAAAGCCCUUUUUGUGGGAAAAAAAAACCAGAGGGUUAAUCCCCGCUUUUUUUGACGGACCCAAAAAAAAAACCCCCGGCUAACUUCGGC
This 492-nucleotide ribosomal RNA is filed under the name uncultured bacterium. RNAcentral's name for it is "partial 16S ribosomal RNA". It matches the Rfam family "Bacterial small subunit ribosomal RNA", at positions 29 to 508 of the family's 1533-position model. The record is from RNAcentral.